UAUAAUACCAUUAUCAUUAUCAUCCAACAUCUAAUUUAAAUAUGUAGUAACAACAAUAAUAAUAAUAAACAUAUUUAUACUUGUACUAAUAGUGCUUAUAUGUUUAUUAGUAAUAACACUAAGAAAUGCAUUGUAUAGCAAAUUUCUCUAAAAUGCAUUUAGGGAUAAUUAAGGGGUUCAAUAAUGAAAUUUGUAUCAUUAGGAUCGGGGUGUAACAACUAUUAUUGAGGAACAUAAGACCACUUUAUUCAAGGGAUGCCUUUAUUGUUUUGAAAAGUAAUUCCACAUGCGCACUUCAUCACUGAAACUAAAACACCUUAUCAUUCUUCGCUGAUUGGUGCAUGUUUUUCCUAGUGACUGCCGCAUUCUUUCCAAAUCCUUCGGUCAUCCGACUCACCUUUAAAAAAAUGACAAUUUAGAACCAGAUAAUAAAUUUGAGGACAAAAUAUAGUAGUUGGGAAAUGUAAAAUUCGGAAAGAAUCAAACCUGCAAUCAAGUUAAUGCGCCUAUCAAAAUCCAGCAUGAUCUUCAACAACGUUUCAUAUGCAACACGCUCCACACUUGGAGAUUGAAGAGGAAUAUCAUAUCAAUCCCAUAAUUGACCAUCAAGUAAACCAAAUAUUGUAAUGUAAACCAACAUAUUUGUCAUGAUAUUAAAUGAACAAUAUACGUAUUAUAUCACCAUUUUAUUUUCAAUCUUUCACAAUGAUUCAAUGUUUGAAGACAAAAAGGCAAUGAUCAAGACAACCGACAACUUGAAACCAUUCAUGAACUUGCUAUUUCAUGAAUCAUAUAAGAUCUCAUCAUUAACGGAUGUUUACUGAGUCUGAAACAUUCCAUAUAUUAGAAAAUGAUUGGAUUAUGAUAACAUACUACACCGAACGGGAUAUUGAAUAGGGAUUGUACCCGUUACCUGAUAGCCUCUCCGGUGUUUUAACACCUAGUACCUCAUCCAACUACAUUGGUUCACCAAGUUUAGCAACAUAUGGAUC
Molecule: long non-coding RNA, 992 nt
Filed under: Linum usitatissimum (flax)
Lineage: Eukaryota; Viridiplantae; Streptophyta; Magnoliopsida; Malpighiales; Linaceae
Description: long non-coding RNA (LUSI_LNC002970)
Source: RNAcentral